CAUGAAGUCGGAAUUGCUAGUAAUCGCGGAUCAGCAUGCCGCGGUGAAUACGUUCCCGGGCCUUGUACACACCGCCCGUCACACCAUGAGAGCCGUCAAUGCCCGAAGUCCGUAGCCUAACCGCAAGGAGGGCGCGGCCGAAGGCAGGGGUGGUAAUUAGGGUGAAGUCGUAACAAGGUAUC
This 182-nucleotide ribosomal RNA is filed under the name uncultured bacterium. Its description in RNAcentral is "partial 16S ribosomal RNA". It matches the Rfam family "Bacterial small subunit ribosomal RNA", at positions 1319 to 1500 of the family's 1533-position model. The record is from RNAcentral.